GAUGAACGCUGGCGGCGUGCCUAAUACAUGCAAAUCGAGCGAAUGGAUUAAGAGCUUGCUCUUAUGAAGUUAGCGGCGGACGGGUGAGUAACACGUGGGUAACCUGCCCAUAAGACUGGGAUAACUCCGGGAAACCGGGGCUAAUACCGGAUAACAUUUUGAACCGCAUGGUUCGAAAUUGAAAGGCGGCUUCGGCUGUCACUUAUGGAUGGACCCGCGUCGCAUUAGCUAGUUGGUGAGGUAACGGCUCACCAAGGCAACGAUGCGUAGCCGACCUGAGAGGGUGAUCGGCCACACUGGGACUGAGACACGGCCCAGACUCCUACGGGAGGCGGCAGUAGGGAAUCUUCCGCAAUGGACGAAAGUCUGACGGAGCAACGCCGCGUGAGUGAUGAGGGCUUUCGGGUCGUAAAACUCUGUUGUUAGGGAAGAACAAGUGCUAGUUGAAUAAGCUGGCACCUUGACGGUACCUAACCAGAAAGCCACGGCUAACUACGUGCCAGCAGCCGCCGUAA
RNAcentral lists this ribosomal RNA (515 nucleotides) under uncultured bacterium. RNAcentral's name for it is "partial 16S ribosomal RNA". It matches the Rfam family "Bacterial small subunit ribosomal RNA", at positions 28 to 523 of the family's 1533-position model. The record is from RNAcentral.